This is a long non-coding RNA of Oncorhynchus tshawytscha (Chinook salmon), 2024 nucleotides long. The record is from Ensembl. NCBI's taxonomy places the organism in Eukaryota, Metazoa, Chordata, Actinopteri, Salmoniformes, Salmonidae.
UAUGAAGCCAGUGGAAACGUCCAGGGCCUGCCAACUGCCAAGCUGCUGCCCUCCUCCUGGUUCCAGUGUGAAUUACAAAUGCCAUGGCCACCACAGAGCUGGGCUAGCUGCUCCAGGUGCUGUGCCUGGGAGGCCUGAUCCGAUAGCUCCUCUGAGGACGCCCAUCCUGUCCCUGCCGAGCCCAGCAAAGCCUCCUCCUGGGGGCCUGUUGCACACACACAGGUCAUGUAAUCAGACGCAGUCAGCUGCCCGCUAAUGUCUGUCUCUAUCCUUCUCUUUCUCACACUCUAUCCCUCUCUCUCUUUCUAUCCCCCUAACUCCCUCUCGCUCUGUCUCUGCCUCUCUCCACAGCAAGUAAACAGAAUCCAAAAGGCUGGCGACGUGGUCUCUGGCAGGGCUGGCAGUGUGGAGAUGAGAAUGAAGUUAACAGCAGGAUACAGUGGAGCCAACAGGAUAGUGAGCAGAGGAGCAGAGACAGACAGACAGACUCCUUCUCUUCACCGUGUACCGUGCACUGUCAACAGGAAACAUGCUGAUCCUGUGCUGUGAGUGGCAACAUGACGUUUCACAUUGGUGAAGGUUGUAUUGGAACUCAAGGGCAGGUGACGAGCUGAGCUAAAGAGCAAGCGGAGGCAGGCUGAGAGAGGCUCAAUGGCUGAGAGAAGACAGAUCCACGCCCCUCCCUCUCCUCCCACGCUGCAUCAGGAAAGGAGGAGAGGAAGUCAGAGGGGAUUUGUUCACUGACUGGCAGAGCCCACGACCAAUCACUGUUUUACUCACGUACAGUAGACCAGCCAGCGUGUGUGAGCAGUCUCAGCAAGUAGGAAAUGGAGCUGUCGACUGAGCACUGUGGCUGGCUUUCCCUCACUCCUUAUGAAACCAAACUGCAGGGCUUUAAGCUUCUGCAAGGAUUCACUACUGUGCACGCUUAAUAUAUUAGAUUUGUUAAUUUCAUAUAAUUUCAGGAUACACUGACCUAAUUUGUCUAGUGCACUCGUACAGCAAUUUUGUGCAAGUGUGAAAACAUGUCUUGGGGGGAAGGAAUUAAAUCAAGAAAUCUUAAUGCUUUACUUAUGGUUUAUAAAUGAGAAGCCUGUGAAAAUGUGCAAUGUCCAUACACAGACUUGAGAAUGUGCUUGAGAAAGAAAUUCAAUAUGUCUACAUGUUUCCCUGAGUAGCAUAAGCACAUGGACGUUUUAACAUAUAUUCAUAACAUUUUUAUAUUGAUAUAUAUCUUUUUUUAUAAUAAUAAUUACAUAUUUGAUAUCAAUAAUAAAAAAAAAUUAUAUCAACAAUUUUUGGGGAUGUCAAUGCACUUCAUGAAGGCGGGAUUGCAUGUGCAUGCUUCUACAUACAGUCGCUAGUCUACACACCCCUUGUACGAUCUUCACAUUUUGCUGCCUUAAAAUGUAAUCUAAAAAGAGACGUGCAAGGCUAGAUUUAUUUCCUAUAGAUCUACACAAUUUGCUCCUCUUUUUCAAAGUAAAAUAAAAAUUAUAGAACAUUUUACAAAUGAAUACAAAAAUAAGAAAUGAAAAUGUGUUAAUGACGUGUCUUCACACCCCAGAUUUAAUAUGUGGUGUCACGACUUCUGCUGAAGUUGGUUCCUCUCCCUGUUUGUGCGGUGUUCGGCGGUCGACGUCACCGGUCUUCUAGCCAUCGCCGAUCCAUUUUUCAUUUUCUAUUUGUUUUGUCUUGUUUUCCCACACACCUGGAUUUCAUUUCCCUCAUUACUUGUUGUGUAUUUAACCCUCUGUUCCCCCCAUGUCUUUGUGUGGUAUUGUUUGUUUGUAAGUGCUUGUGCACAUGUUGACUGGUGCGUGUCGGGUUUUGUACCCAUGUUGUUAUUUUCUUGAUGCCGUUGGUUUUGGUAUUAAACUGCUCUGGCUAUUACCUAGUUAUGCUCUCCUGCGUCUGACUUCCCUGCACCAGUUAUGCACCCCUUACAUGUGGUGGAAGCACCUUUGGCAGCCAUUACAGUUGUGAAUCAUUUUGAAAAAUAUUCUUCUAGCCUUGCAUGACUU